RNAcentral lists this small RNA (1580 nucleotides) under Rattus norvegicus (Norway rat). RNAcentral's name for it is "uncharacterized LOC102546326". Lineage: Eukaryota; Metazoa; Chordata; Mammalia; Rodentia; Muridae. The record is from RNAcentral.
GCUGGAAAAGGGAGCAGGAUGAAAUACAGCGUGGGCUAAAUGGCACCACCUACAGCUCCUGUCUAGACCUUGGAACUGCGACUACGACCUUUACGUGGGGAAGAACAAGUCCUGGAAUUUAUGUACCCUCGGCCUGCCUUUGCCAACACGACGAUGUCGGUGUGAUGGGAGCUCUGUGCUGUGAUGGUGGAACAAGCUUGAACCAUUGUGUUAAAUGAUGGACAGCUGAAUUCCUGUUCAGUGAUUCUCAUGGCUCCGUGGCGGUGACGCAUCCAGAUGGGAAAGCAGAAAUGCGGUGCAUGGGAAAGAGCUUUGGCAUCUCACACACCGCGGACCAAGAAUACACGGAAGGACUCAUGAGGGCAAGGUGGAUGACUGCCAGUUUGUCUGCGUUGCCCAGCAAUGAGCCAAGUAGAAAAGAACCUGCAGAGAGUCGAGGAAGAAGGAGAGAUGGCGAUACUGAAGGGGCACUGAGAACCUGAUGGGACUGGAGCAAGGAAGAGCCACAUUGUCAUCAAGUUAGGGUACAGAGGUGUUCCUUCGAAAAGGGAGUGAGAAAGCUGUCCUGCUUAGUUUCUACCGACUUCCCUUUGUUUAUUUUUUUUCUGUUUUCUUCUAUAUAUUUUAGGUUAUACACAUAGUAGUGGGUUUCUUUGUGGCAUUUGCAUACACAGGUGUCAUUAAAUUCCGUUCUCAUUCAUUCCCCUCCCAGCUUUCCUUGCCAACAAACAUGAUAUCUGUUACUAGUUCCCAGUCAAUAAAUGGCCACUGACUAGUUUUUAUCUGUCUUCCUACCUAGAUUGUUUUAUGUGAAAGAUUUGAGACUGGGGGUCUGUAUCAGUGUCCCUCAAUUGAUUAGACCUUUUAUUGCUGCAGGGCACCUCAGAGGGCUGACCAUACAUUUGGUAGAAUAGCAUUCUGUAGUGGACUCAACACUCAAACAAGACUUCCUGUCGACAUACUGGACUUUCCUUCCAGCCCGAUGGAAGUGGGCAAGAAGUUAUUGGAGCGGUUCAAUGGCCCGAGCCUCAGGGCUAAGCUUGGAAAUGCAUUCUAUUUUAGCCCCUAGAUGUGAACUACUAGAAGAUAAAAUUUGGAAUAUCAUUUAUCCUCACAUUAAUUUAAUGAAAACAAUGAAGAAGAUAACUGAUGCAGAUAUUGUAAGAGAUUGUAAGAACCUGUAAGAGAUUUCUAUACUCUCAGUCUCAGAAAUACUUUCUUACUUUAAACACAAGCUCAGUGUAUGGUUCUCUUGGGAAUAUGGUAAAACAACCAAAUGUCUGCAUGCCAGACCACAGCAUGGCUUGGUGGGCCGUGUGUGCCUGGUGGAUGUUAGAUGUUUGCAACACUGGGCCAGCUUGCCCUCCUGUGCUGCUGAAGGCCUUGGGGCCCUUUUCUGAUCUGAUCAUCCAGCAGCUUUUGUGAGCUCUGUCAAGGCCACACUCGAUGAACAGCUUCCCAUACAAGUGUUGGCUCCUCCCCUUCACAACCUUCCCCACCCAGAGCUUUCUAGAUUACUGCUCUUUGCUUUCUUCGUCUAAUCUGCCCUUGAACUUUGUAGUUUCUGUCUGAUAAUUUGU